This 448-nucleotide ribosomal RNA is filed under the name uncultured bacterium. RNAcentral describes it as "partial 16S ribosomal RNA". It matches the Rfam family "Bacterial small subunit ribosomal RNA", at positions 328 to 792 of the family's 1533-position model. The record is from RNAcentral.
GCUCCAGACUCCUACGGGAGGCAGCAGUGGGGGAUAUUGCACAAUGGGGGAAACCCUGAUGCAGCGGCGCCGCGUGUGGGAAGACGGUCCUCUGGAUUGUAAACCACUGUCCCCAGGGACGAAAAUGACGGUACCUGGGGAGGAAGCUCCGGCUAACUACGUGCCAGCAGCCGCGGUAAUACGUAGGGAGCGAGCGUUGUCCGGAAUUACUGGGUGUAAAGGGAGCGCAGACGGCAGCGCAAGCCAGGAGUGAAAGCCCGGGGCCCAACCCCGGGACUGCUCUUGGAACUGCGCGGCUGGAGUGCAGGAGGGGCAGGCGGAAUUCCUAGUGUAGCGGUGAAAUGCGUAGAUAUUAGGAGGAACACCAGUGGCGAAGGCGGCCUACUGGACGGUGACUGACGCUGAGGCUCGAAAGCGUGGGGAGCAAACAGGAUUAGAUACCCGAGUA